Molecule: ribosomal RNA, 872 nt
Filed under: uncultured bacterium
Lineage: Bacteria
Description: bacterial SSU rRNA
Rfam family: Bacterial small subunit ribosomal RNA
Source: RNAcentral
AGAGUUUUNNAUCCUGGCUCAGGAUGAACGCUAGCCGGCAGGCUUUAACCACAUGCAAGUCGAGGGGGUAUAGAGAGCUUGCUUUCUAGAGACCGGCGCACGGGGUGCGUAACGCGUAUGCAAUCUACCUUUUACAGAGGGAUAGCCCAGAGAAAUUUGGAUUAAUACCUCAUAGCAUAGCAGCUUCGCAUGAAGCCACUAUUAAAGUCACAACGGUAAAAGAUGAGCAUGCGUCCCAUUAGUUAGUUGGUAAGGUAACGGCUUACCAAGACUACGAUGGGUAGGGGUCCUGAGAGGGAGAUCCCCCACACUGGUACUGAGACACGGACCAGACUCCUACGGGAGGCAGCAGUGAGGAAUAUUGGACAAUGGGCGCAAGCCUGAUCCAGCCAUGCCGCGUGCAGGAUGACGGUCCUAUGGAUUGUAAACUGCUUUUAUACGAGAAGAAACACUCCUUCGUGAAGGAGCUUGACGGUAUCGUAAGAAUAAGGAUCGGCUAACUCCGUGCCAGCAGCCGCGGUAAUACGGAGGAUCCAAGCGUUAUCCGGAAUCAUUGGGUUUAAAGGGUCCGUAGGCGGUUUAGUAAGUCAGUGGUGAAAGCCCAUCGCUCAACGGUGGAACGGCCAUUGAUACUGCUAAACUUGAAUUAUUAGGAAGUAACUAGAAUAUGUAGUGUAGCGGUGAAAUGCUUAGAGAUUACAUGGAAUACCAAUUGCGAAGGCAGGUUACUACUAAUGGAUUGACGCUGAUGGACGAAAGCGUGGGUAGCGAACAGGAUUAGAUACCCCUGGUAGUCCACGCCGUAAACGAUGGAUACUAGCUGUUGGGAGCAAUCUCAGUGGCUAAGCGAAAGUGAUAAGUUCCCCCCUGGA